Long non-coding RNA from Scaptodrosophila lebanonensis, 640 nucleotides. RefSeq lists it as uncharacterized. Lineage: Eukaryota; Metazoa; Arthropoda; Insecta; Diptera; Drosophilidae. The record is from RefSeq and is a predicted model, not a curated record. The transcript is spliced from 3 exons.
UGGCGCGCUAAACACAACAUAAAAAAUGUUCGAAAGCAAAAUUUGUGGAUGAAGUAUAUUUUGAAUUUUUGAAAAUUUUCGUGUAAAAGUAAACAAUACACGGUGUGGUUAAUGAACAGGAGUUGGUUCAAAAAACAUGAAAACAUUAGGGCUAACACACUUAUGAGAUGUUCAUGCUGCUGGUACUUGAGAGCAAUCGGAUCUUUGGUAAAAAAUACAGCUGGAUAUCUCGCAGGAAACAUCGCGAUAACAAUCCUUGACAUUAGAUGAUGGUUUAACUACAAACACGAGCUAGGCACUACAGCAAAUGUGGCUGGAACGAUGCACACAUAACCCCCUUCUUCUGCAUAGUCUGCAGACACAUAGCUGCCAUAUUUGACAGCGAUUUUCCUUGUAUUGCUCCACAGUAAGGAAGGUCCCAUACUAAGUAUACACAAAUGCUGGAAGUUCUGAAGGGCUUUCCACUUCGUCCAAUCUAUCGACAAGAGUGUCCCGCUAGCUGCGACGGUACCGAUUGCCCAGAUCCGAAGGCUUGCGAUCCACUGGCGGUACGAGUGGUGUUAGAAAACAUUGUUGUUUUUAUUUUUAUGUUUUGUUCCGCAUACGAGUAAUAAAAAUAAAUGUGGUAUGGUAAGCGCAA